This 492-nucleotide ribosomal RNA is filed under the name uncultured bacterium. RNAcentral describes it as "partial 16S ribosomal RNA". It matches the Rfam family "Bacterial small subunit ribosomal RNA", at positions 29 to 507 of the family's 1533-position model. The record is from RNAcentral.
AGUGAACGCUGGCGGUAGGCCUAACACAUGCAAGUCGAACGGCAGCACAGUAAGAGCUUGCUCUUACGGGUGGCGAGUGGCGGACGGGUGAGGAAUACAUCGGAAUCUACUUUUUCGUGGGGGAUAACGUAGGGAAACUUACGCUAAUACCGCAUACGACCUACGUGUGAAAGCAGGGGAUCUUCGGACCUUGCGCGAUUGAAUGAGCCGAUGUCGGAUUAGCUAGUUGGCGGGGUAAAGGCACACCAAGGCGACGAUCCGUAGCUGGUCUGAGAGGAUGAUCCGCCACACUGGCACUGAGACACGGUCCAGACUCCUACGGGAGGAAGCAGUGGGGAAUAUUGGACAAUGGGCGCAAGCCUGAUCCAGCCAUACCGGGUGGGUGAAGAAGGCCUUCGGGUUGUAAAGCCCUUUUGUUGGGAAAGAAAAGCAGCAGGUUAAUACCCCGCUGUUCUGACGGUACCCAAAGAAUAAGCACCGGCUAACUUCGUG